UACGGAGGGUACAAGCGUUAAUCGGAAUUACUGGGCGUAAAGCGCGCGUAGGCGGUUAAUUAAGUCAGAUGUGAAAGCCCUGGGCUCAACCUAGGAACUGCAUUUGAAACUGAAUAACUUGAGUAUGGUAGAGAAAGAUGGAAUUCCCAGUGUAGCAGUGAAAUGCGUAGAGAUUGGGAGGAAUAUCGAUGGCGAAGGCAGUCUUUUGGGCCAAUACUGACGCUGAGGUGCGAAAGCGUGGGGAGCAAACGGG
RNAcentral lists this ribosomal RNA (253 nucleotides) under uncultured bacterium. RNAcentral's name for it is "partial 16S ribosomal RNA". It matches the Rfam family "Bacterial small subunit ribosomal RNA", at positions 524 to 776 of the family's 1533-position model. The record is from RNAcentral.